RNAcentral lists this transfer RNA (68 nucleotides) under Marmota monax (woodchuck). RNAcentral describes it as "tRNA.Ala". It matches the Rfam family "tRNA", at positions 6 to 65 of the family's 71-position model. Rfam says of the family: Transfer RNA (tRNA) molecules are approximately 80 nucleotides in length. Their secondary structure includes four short double-helical elements and three loops (D, anti-codon, and T loops). Lineage: Eukaryota; Metazoa; Chordata; Mammalia; Rodentia; Sciuridae. The record is from RNAcentral.
GGAUGUAGCUCAGUUGAUAGAGCGCUUGCCUUGCAUGCACAAGGCCCUGGGUUCAGUCCCCAGCACCA